ACUGAGCCAUUUGCUCUUGUGGUGCUCCUGAUCCAGCAGGGAGAAUCAGUGAAAACUAAAUUGCAACACAACUUGGAAAAUGCCGCACCAAGGUCCUCUGCAGUCAUUUCCUGAUUAACAGUGGAUCCAUUUAGUUGAAUUGUGGUCAGACUGGUUGUGUCUGUGGACAUAGAAAUACCGAUGACCUGAUUUCCCCCAGGAGUCUUUCAGCUUCGGGACAGGACAUGACAGAAGCUGAGAGUGACAACGUUGGCUUCCCCAGAAGCAGAUCCUGAAAUAAUGAAUGUGAAAGUGGUGCAUUAGGAAGUGUGCACCUGAAAACACUGGUAUGGUUGUGGGGCAGUGGGCUUGUGUAGGGGAGGAGACCAAGCAAGGCUGUGAUGUCAAGCAAAGGCCCGUGGAGGUUGACUUUGGCUCAGCUCCACAGAGGAGCUCGGGAAACGGUGUAGGUCAUACUUCAGAGCUGCCCUAGGCAGGGGCCAGGGAGCUGCAGCAUUGAUAACCUGUACCCAUCAACUGAAGGCUGUUCCCAGGGACUCUGCCCAUUGCACUCACCCCCAGAGUGGGUUCCAGCUGCCGCAGGGCAGCCGUUUAUCAAAGUGAGGGAGCAAUGUGGGUUCUGUCGGGAGUUAAAUGCACUAGGAGCCGCAUGCCUUGGAUGGUCAGAGUUCCCUGGGUGAGGUGGGCAGGGUUCUGGCUAAUGACCCCCCACAGAGUCCUAAUAUGUGACGGUCUGCAGAAGGCUCUGGAACCAUUUAGAAGAAGGGCUUUCUUCAUCAUCUCUGCCUUUACUGGACCAAGUCCAAGUGCCAAGUACAAUCGGAGCCCUCCUUACUGUGGAUUCGCCCCUUGGUGUCUGGCAGCUCCUUCUCAUUGGAGGCUUGCCUGGUAACACAGUGAAAGACCCAGUAUCUCUGGGUACCAGGGUGCCUCUGCAUAAUGCACCAGUCCUAGGGCACUGGAGAUACAUCUGUGCUUUUUGCUGUAGAUUAGAAUCAGGAGGGUGCAUUUCUCCAAAGGUACCUGGAGGACAGUGACCAGACACACUCCAGGACUGUGCACAUGGAGACAGCCCUUUCCCGAGGGCUCACUUCAUGCCUUUUCCUUGGAUAUCACUCAGUCGUCUCAUUUCACACUAACUCCAGGAGGCAUUUUGCUGUUUUCAUUCCCAUUUUCCAGAUGGAGAUACUGAGGCUCUGAGAGACUCUGCAACUUUAAGGUCUUGGAGUUAGUUACUACCAGAACAAGAAUUUCAGCCCCAACCUUUCAGACUUCCCCUCACCACUCUGCCCUUCAAUUAACCUCAGAGACUUGGGAGCCAGGAGGAAGAUUCUGACAUUGCUAAUUAGAGAGAUACUACAGGGAUUAUAACAAAUCUGGAGAAUGAACUCUAAGAUCACCAGGUGGUGCCUUAGUCCAGCUGCCCAAAUAUGGAAGAGAAUGAGGCUUCAAGGAAGGAUGGUCCCUUCUGUCUAUGGAAUUAACCUAUGUUAAUUUAUUUCCUACUAAAUUUCAAGCUGCAGUGUAGAAGCUUUAAUUAACACUCAGAACCAAGGAUGGGUCCUGUGGGACUGUCCCGAGAAUGUGUGCACACAAGCUCAUCUCUAAAUUCAUCCCUAAUACUAAUUAGCCCCACAAGUUCUCCAAGGGCCUUGUCUGCUAAUUUGGAACCUGGUGAUGAGCUCUAUCUCUGCCUAGCCUUGGAGAUCAAGGACACAAAUCUCUUUAUCUCCAUUAUCAAUGUCAUGCCAAUGGCCCAGGAGGACUAUGGAAUCAUUAAUGACUCCUCAUUGGUUGGCACAGCAACUUGAAGCCCUUCACAAAGUGACUGCCUGGUUUGCUCCUCAACAUCCAACUGUGAUAUAAUGGGGUUAGUUCAGUGGACAACACUGCUGCAGUCUGGUGAGGACAUUGGCCUCACCCCCUACCAUGCUGACCUCGGAUGGAAAUGUACAUUCUCGAGGCUUUGAACACAAAGAUGAACACAAGAACACUUCAGAGGAGCAUGGGGCUGGCAGUUGGAAAGCCCAAGACCUCUUCCCAGCAGCACCAGUUUUUUCCCGUGGAGUUCGUCAUUACUUCUCUGUAUCCCAGUUGCCUUAGCUGUAAAAGGGGGCUGUAAUUCUUACAAAACCCUUGUCCCAGGAUGGUCAUGAGAAUUCCAUGAGUUAAAGCAUCUGCAACGCGUAGAAAAGUGCCAGACACAUUGUAAGCAUAAAAAAUAAAAAUAAAAAAUAAUAAAGUUAUGCUGCUAU
Pongo pygmaeus (Bornean orangutan) is the source of this 2255-nucleotide long non-coding RNA. RefSeq lists it as uncharacterized. The record is from RefSeq and is a predicted model, not a curated record. The transcript has 3 exons. Lineage: Eukaryota; Metazoa; Chordata; Mammalia; Primates; Hominidae.